UACGUAGGGGGCAAGCGUUGUCCGGAAUCAUUGGGCGUAAAGCGCGUGUAGGCGGCUCAGUAAGUCCGCUCUGAAAGCCCGGGGCUCAACCCCGGAAUUGCCUUUAAGACUGCAUCGCUUGAAUCCGGGAGAGGUGAGUGGAAUUCCGAGUGUAGAGGUGAAAUUCGUAGAUAUUCGGAAGAACACCAGUGGCGAAGGCGGCUCACUGGACCGGUAUUGACGCUGAUGUGCGAAAGCGUGGGGAGCAAACAGG
RNAcentral lists this ribosomal RNA (253 nucleotides) under uncultured bacterium. Its description in RNAcentral is "partial 16S ribosomal RNA". It matches the Rfam family "Bacterial small subunit ribosomal RNA", at positions 524 to 776 of the family's 1533-position model. The record is from RNAcentral.